This is a long non-coding RNA of Pipistrellus kuhlii (Kuhl's pipistrelle), 1135 nucleotides long. RefSeq lists it as uncharacterized. The transcript is spliced from 2 exons. NCBI's taxonomy places the organism in Eukaryota, Metazoa, Chordata, Mammalia, Chiroptera, Vespertilionidae. The record is from RefSeq and is a predicted model, not a curated record.
AACACGAUGUUAAAUUUUACAGUAUCUUGGGGACUAUAGGAAAAGUUAUGUUUUAAUUGAAAAUAUACUUUAACCAAAAGAAAAACUCUCAUACAUUGACUAUGUAAAUAACUCCAUACUGUCUGUAUGGGAGGUACAAGGCAUGAUACAAUACAAUAUUUUAUCUGCCAGUACUGUCAGUCUCUCCCUUGGAAGAGAAAUUUGGCAACAAAAAAGUGUAUUCCCUUUUUCCCCCCCCUCCAACUGUGAUUAAAUAAGCCAGAUAUCCCCAAAGUAAUGAAGACUCAUUUCACGUAAUUACUCUGCUUACAAGUUUUAUUUACACAGUACUUGUUAAUAGUGGUUUUUAGUGAAUUCCUUAUAUUUACAUUUUAUAUAUACAUUUAUAUUUGAAAGGUAAAGAAACUGUACAAUAAUAAAAAUGAGAAAAAGAAAUACAGUAACUUAGGUCCAACUCAGGAAAGAAAUACACAAAAGGAAGGUUAAACUCAGGCAGGUAGAAUAAUCUCAAUGAGAUUGCUGCAGGGCUUACAUUCCCUCUGUCAGGGUCACCAAUGUGAAAGAAGCAUUUACCAGAGUCAAAGUGUUAUUAUAAAACCUUUUAUAAGUCCCUGGGUGCUCCCUCAAUAUUUUAUUACACUACCAUCACUAGCUUCCACUAAGGAAGCUCUGUGACAGGAGCUAGCUUCUGAGGGCUCCACCAGCGGUCCCUAAGCUAGAAUGCCCCAUGGGGUAAAAACAUCCGGGCACAUCUGGUCCCAUACUCCUAAAAAGGCAGUCACAACACUAACAAGACCCUCAGGUUCGUUAUGAUUUAUUUUAGGUAUAAGAAUUAAACAUAUUAUAAUAAAUUUAAUGUCAAUUUACCAAUAAUUAAUAAUUUGUCUAUCCACUCUACCAUCAAAGUUAGACUCAUUAGAAAAAGUUCACUUUAUCUUUUACUCUUAUUUACGUUGAUUAGAAAAUUAUGCACAGUAUUUUACAAGUCAUAGACUUGGUUACAUAUUAAGAUUUCAAAUUUCAAACUGAAAUUAAAAAUUUUUAUUUCUACAAACAAUGAAGGAAUUUUAACUAAAAAAAUCUCAAGUUUUUCCAAGAACUGUCAAAAUUCAUACUUUUUUACUUUUACCAGUGG